GAUGAACGCUGGCGGCGUGCCUAAUACAUGCAAGUCGAGCGAGUAUACCUUGAGCAUCGUCCUCUUUGCAUACCGGGAAACAAGUUACUGACAAGCGGCGGACGGAUGAGUAACACGUGGGUAACUUCCGCAAAAGAUAGGGAAUACACCUGAAAAUAGUUGACAAUACGGUUUAACAAUAGAAGAUGCCUUUCACCUGAUUAAAAGAUGGUUCUGCUCUCCAUCUUGUAUGGCGCUGCGUUGCAUUAGCUAGUUGGUAGGGUAACGGCCUACCAAGGCGACGAUGCAUAGCCGACUUGAGAGACUGAUCGGCCACAUUGGAACUGAGACACGGCCCAGACUCCUACGGGAGGCAGCAGUAGGGAAUCUUCCACAAUGGACGAAAGCCUGAUGGAGCAACGCCGCGUGAGUGAAGAAGGUCUUCGGCUCGUAAAGCUCUGUUGUUAGGGAAGAAGGACAGGGGUAGUAACUGAGCUUUGUUUGACGGUAAUCAAUGAGAAAGUCACGGCUAACUACGUG
Molecule: ribosomal RNA, 519 nt
Filed under: uncultured bacterium
Lineage: Bacteria
Description: partial 16S ribosomal RNA
Rfam family: Bacterial small subunit ribosomal RNA
Source: RNAcentral